RNAcentral lists this ribosomal RNA (253 nucleotides) under uncultured bacterium. RNAcentral's name for it is "partial 16S ribosomal RNA". It matches the Rfam family "Bacterial small subunit ribosomal RNA", at positions 524 to 776 of the family's 1533-position model. The record is from RNAcentral.
UACGUAGGGGGCAAGCGUUGUCCGGAAUCAUUGGGCGUAAAGAGCGUGUAGGCGGCUUGGUAAGUCCGCUGUGAAAGUCCAGGGCUCAACCCUGGGAUGCCGGUGGAUACUGUCGGGCUCGAGUCCGGAAGAGGCGAGUGGAAUUCCUGGUGUAGCGGUGAAAUGCGCAGAUAUCAGGAGGAACACCAAUGGCGAAGGCAGCUCGCUGGGACGUGACUGACGCUGAGACGCGAAAGCGUGGGGAGCAAACAGG